This 443-nucleotide ribosomal RNA is filed under the name uncultured bacterium. RNAcentral describes it as "partial 16S ribosomal RNA". It matches the Rfam family "Bacterial small subunit ribosomal RNA", at positions 338 to 795 of the family's 1533-position model. The record is from RNAcentral.
CCUACGGGAGGCAGCAGUGGGGAAUAUUGGGCAAUGGGCGCAAGCCUGACCCAGCAACGCCGCGUGAAGGAAGAAGGCCCUCGGGUUGUAAACUUCUUUUAUCAGGGACGAAACAAAUGACGGUACCUGAUGAAUAAGCCACGGCUAACUACGUGCCAGCAGCCGCGGUAAUACGUAGGUGGCAAGCGUUAUCCGGAUUUACUGGGUGUAAAGGGCGUGUAGGCGGGAGAGCAAGUCAGACGUGAAAUUCCAGGGCUCAACCCUGGAACUGCGUUUGAAACUGUUCUUCUUGAGUGAUGGAGAGGCAGGCGGAAUUCCUAGUGUAGCGGUGAAAUGCGUAGAUAUUAGGAGGAACACCAGUGGCGAAGGCGGCUUACUGGACUGUAACUGACGUUGAGGCUCGAAAGCGUGGGGAGCAAACAGGAUUAGAUACCCUGGUAGUC